This 139-nucleotide ribosomal RNA is filed under the name uncultured eukaryote. Its description in RNAcentral is "partial 18S ribosomal RNA". It matches the Rfam family "Eukaryotic small subunit ribosomal RNA", at positions 1299 to 1458 of the family's 1831-position model. The record is from RNAcentral.
UGGUGGAGUGAUUUGUCUGGUUAAUUCCGUUAACGAACGAGACCUCAGCCUGCUAAAUAGUUGAACAUAGUUUUUCUAUGUAUUCGACUUCUUAGAGGGACUUUCGGUGGUUAGCCGAAGGAAGUUUGAGGCAAUAACA